Molecule: transfer RNA, 68 nt
Filed under: Raillietina tetragona
Lineage: Eukaryota; Metazoa; Platyhelminthes; Cestoda; Cyclophyllidea; Davaineidae
Description: tRNA-Cys
Source: RNAcentral
GAUGUGGUGCUGUUAUUGGCGUUAGUUUUGCAAAGACUAAUUUGGAAGUUAAUAUAUUUCUCGCAUCU